UUUUCGUUUUUACGUGUCCAACGUUUCACUAUUCGUUUUAUUUUAAUUUUUUACGAUUAAUAUUUUUAUUAUUUCUAUAUGAUAAAAUAUGAAUAUUACUUUAUACGUGACUAAUUUUUUAAAAUUUUUAUACAAAUUUUUCAAAUAAAACGAAUGGUCAAACAUUGGACACGGAAAACAAAAAAUGAGAUUAUU
Non-coding RNA from Oryza brachyantha (malo sina), 195 nucleotides. NCBI's taxonomy places the organism in Eukaryota, Viridiplantae, Streptophyta, Magnoliopsida, Poales, Poaceae. The record is from Rfam.